RNAcentral lists this ribosomal RNA (484 nucleotides) under uncultured bacterium. RNAcentral describes it as "partial 16S ribosomal RNA". It matches the Rfam family "Bacterial small subunit ribosomal RNA", at positions 30 to 507 of the family's 1533-position model. The record is from RNAcentral.
AUUGAACGCUGGCGGCAGGCCUAACACAUGCAAGUCGAGCGGAUGAAGGGAGCUUGCUCCUGGAUUCAGCGGCGGCCGGGUGGGUCAUGCCUAGGAAUUUGCAAGGUCGUAGGGGAUAACGUCCGGAAACGGGCGCUAAUCCCGCAUACGUACUGUGGGCGAAAGUGGGGGAUCUUCGGACCUCACGCCAUCAGAUGAGACUAAGUCGGAUUAGCUAGUUGGUGGGGGAAAGGCCUACCAAGGCGACGAUCCGUAACUGGUCUGAGAGGGUGAACAGGCACACUGGAUCAGAGACACGGUCGAGACUCCUACAGGAGGCAGCAGUGGGGAAUAUUGGACGAGGGGGGAAAGCCUGAUCCAGCCAAGCCGCGUGUGUCAAGAAGGUCUUCUGGUUGGUGAGCACUUUAAGUUUGGGGGAAGUGCAGUUAGUUAAUACCUUACUGUUUUGACGGUACCAACAGAAUAAGCACCGGCUAACUUCGUG